AUUGAACGCUGGCGGCAGGCUUAACACAUGCAAGUCGAGCGGAGAUGAGGUGCUUGCACCUUAUCUUAGCGGCGGACGGGUGAGUAAUGCUUAGGAAUCUGCCUAUUAGUGGGGGGACAACAUUCCGAAAGGAAUGCUAAUACCGCAUACGUCCUACGGGAGAAAAGCAGGGGAUCUUCGGACCUUGCGCUAAUAGAUGAGCCUAAGUCGGAUUAGCUAGUUGGUGGGGUAAAGGCCUACCAAGGCGACGAUCUGUAGCGGGUCUGAGAGGAUGAUCCGCCACACUGGGACUGAGACACGGCCCAGACUCCUACGGGAGGCAGCAGUGGGGAAUAUUGGACAAUGGGGGGAACCCUGAUCCAGCCAUGCCGCGUGUGUGAAGAAGGCCUUAUGGUUGUAAAGCACUUUAAGCGAGGAGGAGGCUACUGAGACUAAUACUCUUGGAUAGUGGACGUUACUCGCAGAAUAAGCACCGGCUAACUCUGUG
RNAcentral lists this ribosomal RNA (487 nucleotides) under uncultured bacterium. RNAcentral's name for it is "bacterial SSU rRNA". It matches the Rfam family "Bacterial small subunit ribosomal RNA", at positions 30 to 507 of the family's 1533-position model. The record is from RNAcentral.